UGCGUGAAAUAGAUAACAUUUUUCUGCCUGACAAAUUCAGUUCGUAUGACUUCUGCAGAAUAUAGCAGCCUCGUAGCUUCCAAAAUAAAAAUCAUGCUGUAGUGACUGUUUAUAGGGCUGUACGUGUCAAGCGGCACGUAGUAAGAAUGCGGUAAAUGGGGUUCACGGGGGUGUGUACGCCAUGUAUUGCCAACUGUGGCAAUCCGACUGCUCGUUUUUCUCGUUCUUCUGUGAAUGUACACAUUGUGCCCUUAGAAGCGUACUACUACAGCCCGCAGUGCCUCAGUUUCAAACCCCUCACGAGAUGCCGAUGACUACAGUAUAAGAUAAGGCAGCAGAGCGAAAUGACGACAUGUUCAAACACCUACAUUUUACAAGUGACAAGGACCUUAGGCUUGACUGAGGUAAAUGUUUCUGCGGCUCGGCAGAUGACAAUGUGAAAGUUCGUUUCACUGGCCUCGGAGCUAUAAAACAGCAUGAAAUCAGGUGAUAUCUGGUGGAAAAGCAGAUUUUCAGUUGGAGAAUAAAAAAAGGAGCACUUCUCACAGUCUAGAUGAACACAAGGUGUGGAGCAGCCAUGCUGAAUGUACAGUGCCCACUGUUCUCAAGUGCCCAUAUUGGUGGCUGAAUUGGCACUUUGCCAAAGUCCACGUGUUCUGGUUCACUGGUCAGUGGGGGUCUGCUCCCUGUAUCCUUGCCACCGCAAACCAGUUUUGCCAAUUCCUCAGGAGAAAUGGGGAUAGAAGGAGCGGCCGAAUCAUGAUCGAGCCAAAAGCAAUGCUCUUUCAGAGCCCCGAACAGCCGAGUAGCAGACAUUUCUCUGAACCAAUCAGCGAGCACGGACCCUGUAGCGUCAGCGCGAGGUCGCAGGCAGAUCACAAGGUUGGUACUGCUCUCCACCACCGUUGCAUCCGGUCGUCUUUGCGGUAUACAGUCAAACUCCUUUACAACGAAACUCAGGGGACAGCAAAAAAAAUUCGCAGUAAAGGUAUUUUCGUUAAAAAGGAUGUCUAUUAUUGGACCUAUAGGCUCCAGCGGGACCGCAAAAAAAAUUUGCUGUACUGGUAUUUUCGUUAAAAAGGUGUUCGCUAUAAAGGAGUUUGACUGUACUUUGAAUUCAAUUUCUGCGGUAAUUACGUCCAUCACUAUUUUCUUGACCAGUUUUCAGAAUAUAGUUGCUUGCAAUACAGGAAGCUUACUGUAACAGGACAAGUCUACCAAAUUCCAGGCACCAUAUUAAAUUAUCGGAACUGUUGUAUGUGAUGAUAACACCAACUACCACGUCUUGGACACUUUGGUGCAAUAUUUUCCUGAUGGCCAAAACAGUUCAGUUUACUUUCUGACUGCUCAAACUACAGGUUACAAGUACCAGCUGAAAGACCACUAUAGAUGGACACAUCCAUGGACUCAGCAGCAAAAUUUAACAUGAGUACCACACUCACACAUUCAUGAGUAAACACAAGACCAUGUAAAGACAUGUCCUCAUACUCUCAGUUACACCACGGCAGCACUUGGCGGCAAAUGGAAUACACUUCCAUCAGAAACGUCUGACAGGUUUAGUUCAUGAAGCUUGUGUGUUAACUUGGCACAGGAGUUUGGAAUGGAAGACAAGUCAGUUGCGCUUUUGCUGCUAUGAUGCAGUGGCCGUAGGCUUGUCUUGUUCGAGCAGCGAGUAUCGCUUUGUCUGUCUGGGCGCUCACACCGUGUCCGCUUCAUACCGCUUGCAUGUAGCUUAUCCUGAGCAGUCUUCGAGAGUGGAAACUGAAACACACCACCAGCUUGUGCUUGGGCCCUGUAUGGCUUACCAUUGGUCAAGUGGUUUGUUGUAGUGCUGCAGCUGAAAUUCACUUUGCUCAAGAGGAAUUUAUGGUAGUUCUUUAGAGCUUCAUGUACUUCUGCAUCUCUUGUACUCUGCACCUUCUCUGCAUACGCACAGACAUCUCCUAAUAGUGAAAGUGGAAAUGGUUUGUCAGAAGUUUAGAUAUAAUGUAGUGUAUAUAUAUGUACAUGGCUUAGGCAGCCCUUAUUGUUAAACCAAAAACUAAGUCCUGUGCAUCUGAUGUUUUAUAGUGUUUCAGGAACUAUGAUGUAUAAGUAAAAAAUGAAAAAAGGUAAUGACUAAGGAGAAUAUAGGCACACAAAAUUGCAAAGCUGAAAUUGGUUUCAGUGAAGAGUUAUCUUGUUUCUGGGGGAGCUUCAAAACUCUCACGUACCUGACAUGUGAGGCUAAAAUAAUUACCCUAUGUUAGACAAACCAAUGCAACACAUUCAUGUGUAUUGAUGUGUGCACUUGCUCCAUGGUAGUUUUUUGCAUGCUGAAUUAGUUUUUAAGAAUAUGUGCAUAAUGCAUGUUUCAUAGCCUGUGUUUGGGAGUCUAAUAAAAUUGAGGUUUACUUAAAAGUUGGU
Ornithodoros turicata is the source of this 2406-nucleotide long non-coding RNA. RefSeq lists it as uncharacterized. The transcript has 4 exons. NCBI's taxonomy places the organism in Eukaryota, Metazoa, Arthropoda, Arachnida, Ixodida, Argasidae. The record is from RefSeq and is a predicted model, not a curated record.